This 253-nucleotide ribosomal RNA is filed under the name uncultured bacterium. RNAcentral describes it as "partial 16S ribosomal RNA". It matches the Rfam family "Bacterial small subunit ribosomal RNA", at positions 524 to 776 of the family's 1533-position model. The record is from RNAcentral.
UACAGAGGGUGCGAGCGUUGUUCGGAAUUAUUGGGCGUAAAGCGUGCGUAGACGGUCAUGUAAGUCGGGUGUGAAAGCCCCGGGCUCAACCUGGGAAUUGCAUUCGAGACUGCAUGGCUAGGGUGCGGAAGAGGGAAGCGGAAUUUCCGGUGUAGCGGUGAAAUGCGUAGAUAUCGGAAGGAACACCAGUGGCGAAAGCGGCUUCCUGGUCCAGCACCGACGUUCAGGCACGAAAGCGUGGGGAGCAAACAGG